CCUACGGGUGGCUGCAGUGAGGAAUAUUGGUCAAUGGCCGGAAGGCUGAACCAGCCAAGCCGCGUGAGGGAGGAAGGCGCAGAGCGUCGCAGACCUCUUUUGCCGGGGGACAAAAGGUCGGACUCGUCCGUUCCUGAGGGUACCCGGAGAAAAAGCAUCGGCUAACUCCGUGCCAGCAGCCGCGGUAAUACGGAGGAGGCGAGCGUUAUCCGGAUUGAUUGGGUUUAAAGGGUGCGCAGGCGGGCCGUUAAGCCGGCGGUGAAAUCGCGGGGCUCAACCCCGCCGAGCCGUUGAAACUGGGGGCCGUGAGUGCGGCAGAGGCAGGCGGAAUGCGCGGUGUAGCGGUGAAAUGCAUAGAGAUCGCGCAGAACACCGAUUGCGAAGGCAGCGUGCCGGGC
RNAcentral lists this ribosomal RNA (398 nucleotides) under uncultured bacterium. RNAcentral's name for it is "partial 16S ribosomal RNA". It matches the Rfam family "Bacterial small subunit ribosomal RNA", at positions 338 to 734 of the family's 1533-position model. The record is from RNAcentral.